GAUGAACGCUGGCGGCGUGCCUAAUACAUGCAAGUCGAGCGAACGGACGAGAAGCUUGCUUCUCUGAUGUUAGCGGCGGACGGGUGAGUAACACGUGGAUAACCUACCUAUAAGACUGGGAUAACUUCGGGAAACCGGAGCUAAUACCGGAUAAUAUUUUGAACCGCAUGGUUCAAAAGUGAAAGACGGUCUUGCUGUCACUUAUAGAUGGAUCCGCGCUGCAUUAGCUAGUUAGUAAGGUAACGGCUUACCAAGGCAACGAUGCAUAGCCGACCUGAGAGGGUGAUCGGCCACCCGGGAACUGAGACACGGUCCAGACUACUACGGGAGGCAGCAGUAGGGAAUCUUCCGCAAUGGGCGAAGGCCUGACGGAGCAACGCCGCGUGAGUGAUGAAGGUCUUCGGAUCGUAAAACUCUGUUAUUAGGGAAGAACAUAUGUGUAAGUAACUGUGCACAUCUUGACGGUACCUAAUCAGAAAGCCACGGCUAACUACGUG
Molecule: ribosomal RNA, 497 nt
Filed under: uncultured bacterium
Lineage: Bacteria
Description: partial 16S ribosomal RNA
Rfam family: Bacterial small subunit ribosomal RNA
Source: RNAcentral